Oenanthe melanoleuca is the source of this 690-nucleotide long non-coding RNA. RefSeq lists it as uncharacterized. The record is from RefSeq and is a predicted model, not a curated record. The transcript has 3 exons. NCBI's taxonomy places the organism in Eukaryota, Metazoa, Chordata, Aves, Passeriformes, Muscicapidae.
CUGGCGGAGGGAUCGCGGCGCCGGGCCGGCCGUGCGGGGCCGUGCGGGCUGUGCCUGGGGCGGCCGCCGGCGCUGGUCGAGCUCCGGCGCGCUCUGAUGGGGAUCGAGGGCGCGUCUGCCACACAAGAGCCAAGUGAGACCCGGGGGAAGGUCAGAGGCGCGCCAGAGGCCCGUCCUGCCGUUCGCCGCCCCUCAGCACCCAUGGUUGCGCCCCCCGCCUCCACCGUGCCCUGUCACCCUGUCCGCCUUCUCCCCGGUUGAACCUGUUACUGUAGUGUGUCUGGAGAGAUGGCAUGCAGGUUGGCUUAACAUCCAAACUUCGUGUAGUCGUUCCGAAAAAUAACGACACUACGCUUGCCCUGACACCCCCAACAAUAACUCAUCAGAUAUGGAGCAUCCUUUGAACGGCGACACCAGAAAUUUGGAAAAUGGCCCCACACAUGAUAUAAGAGACACCGAUGUGCUGGAGCUGACCUGCUCUCUGGUACUAGAGUGAGCUCCAAACUGGAAGCUGUGGCAGCCAGCAUGAGCAAUUGAGGCGAGCUCAGCGACCAGCAAACUUUGUGAAACUGGACAUUUUCCCCAUCAAAGCCAGACAAUGAGGCCUUGUCUACACUGGAGCACAGUAGUAACAAUUCCCACUGUGGCUGCCAUCAGUUCAGCUUGCCUGGUGGGAGCUGUUUAUUAAAA